RNAcentral lists this ribosomal RNA (859 nucleotides) under uncultured bacterium. RNAcentral's name for it is "bacterial SSU rRNA". It matches the Rfam family "Bacterial small subunit ribosomal RNA", at positions 588 to 1447 of the family's 1533-position model. The record is from RNAcentral.
UNUGAAGUUAAAGGCUGUGGCUUAACCAUAGUACGCUUUGGAAACUGUUUAACUUGAGUGCAGAAGGGGAGAGUGGAAUNCCAUGUGUAGCGGUGAAAUGCGUAGAUAUAUGGAGGAACACCGGUGGCGAAAGCGGCUCUNUGGUCUGUAACUGACGCUGAGGCUCGAAAGCGUGGGGAGCGAACAGGAUUAGAUACCCUGGUAGUNCACGCCGUAAACGAUGAGUGCUAGGUGUUAGGCCCUUUCCGGGGCUUAGUGCCGCAGCUAACGCAUUAAGCACUCCGCCUGGGGAGUACGACCGCAAGGUUGAAACUCAAAGGAAUUGACGGGGGCCCGCACAAGCGGUGGAGCAUGUGGUUUAAUUCGAAGCAACGCGAAGAACCUUACCAGGUCUUGACAUCCCGAUGCCCGCUCUAGAGAUAGAGUUUUACUUCGGUACAUCGGUGACAGGUGGUGCAUGGUUGUCGUCAGCUCGUGUCGUGAGAUGUUGGGUUAAGUCCCGCAACGAGCGCAACCCUUAUUGUUAGUUGCCAUCAUUCAGUUGGGCACUCUAGCGAGACUGCCGGUAAUAAACCGGAGGAAGGUGGGGAUGACGUCAAAUCAUCAUGUCCCUUAUGACCUGGGCUACACACGUGCUACAAUGGCUGGUACAACGAGUCGCAAGUCGGUGACGGCAAGCUAAUCUCUUAAAGCCAGUCUCAGUUCGGAUUGUAGGCUGCAACUCGCCUACAUGAAGUCGGAAUCGCUAGUAAUCGCGGAUCAGCACGCCGCGGUGAAUACGUUCCCGGGCCUUGUACACACCGCCCGUCACACCACGAGAGUUUGUAACACCCGAAGUCGGUGAGGUANCCUUUUAGGA